This 234-nucleotide ribosomal RNA is filed under the name Triticum aestivum (bread wheat). RNAcentral's name for it is "partial small subunit ribosomal RNA". Lineage: Eukaryota; Viridiplantae; Streptophyta; Magnoliopsida; Poales; Poaceae. The record is from RNAcentral.
AUGAAUAUAUUGGCCUGGAACUGUCGAGGACUGGGGUUGGACUCGACGGUGGGCGAAUUACGAGAUCUGAUACGGUCCCACAACCCAGCGGUGGUGUUUUUAUGUGAAACAAAAAAGAAGGCGAGAGCAAUGGAAAGGCUCAAGUGGAGUCUAGGUUUUACUUCGGGUGUAGCAGUGGAUUGCAAGGGCCGCAGUGGCGGUCUAGCCUAUGGUGGAGAGAUCAUGUGCAGGUAA